This 211-nucleotide long non-coding RNA is filed under the name Mytilus galloprovincialis (Mediterranean mussel). Lineage: Eukaryota; Metazoa; Mollusca; Bivalvia; Mytilida; Mytilidae. The record is from RNAcentral.
ACUUUUAAUAUUUAGUACUAUUUCUUUACUUUAGAAUUAUUGUAAUAUUUAGGUACUUGUAUUUUCCAGUACUUGAUUUGUACUUAAAAUAUUGGUACAAAAAUAAUACCAACAAUGAUCACAGUAUUCCAUGUUUGAACAUCAUAACGUUUUGAGAUUUGAAAAAGACAAACUUUCAAAAUGCUGAAAAUGUAACCGUGCAACCAAAAAU